This 450-nucleotide ribosomal RNA is filed under the name uncultured bacterium. RNAcentral describes it as "partial 16S ribosomal RNA". It matches the Rfam family "Bacterial small subunit ribosomal RNA", at positions 354 to 796 of the family's 1533-position model. The record is from RNAcentral.
GUGGGGAAUAUUGGACAAUGGGCGCAAGCCUGAUCCAGCCAUACCGCGUGGGUGAAGAAGGCCUUCGGGUUGUAAAGCCCUUUUGUUGGGAAAGAAAUCCUGUCGGUUAAUACCUGGCGGGGAUGACGGUACCCAAAGAAUAAGCACCGGCUAACUUCGUGCCAGCAGCCGCGGUAAUACGAAGGGUGCAAGCGUUACUCGGAAUUACUGGGCGUAAAGCGUGCGUAGGUGGUGGUUUAAGUCCGUUGUGAAAGCCCUGGGCUCAACCUGGGAAUUGCAGUGGGUACUGGAUCACUAGAGGGUGGUAGAGGGAUGCGGAAUUUCUGGUGUAGCAGUGAAAUGCGUAGAGAUCAGAAGGAACAUCCGUGGCGAAGGCGGCAUCCUGGGCCAACACUGACACUGAGGCACGAAAGCGUGGGGAGCAAACAGGAUUAGAAACCCGUGUAGUCC